Molecule: long non-coding RNA, 694 nt
Organism: Hemibagrus wyckioides
Lineage: Eukaryota; Metazoa; Chordata; Actinopteri; Siluriformes; Bagridae
Exons: 3
Source: RefSeq, a predicted model, not a curated record
GACCCCUGAAUGGUAUACUCACAAAGGUGAAGCUUGGAACAAUCAAGGGUUCAGGGAGCCUGGAGCCAAUCCCAGAAGACCCAGGGCACAACUCAUUGCAGGGCACAAUCACACACACACUCACACACUUAUUCAAACACUAUGGACAAUUUAGAGAGCCCGACCAGUUUUUGCCCUGGGGGGAGGAAACUGGAGUACCCAGAGGAAACUCCUAAUGCACAGAGAGAACAUGCAAAAUUGAACCCUCAAGCAAGCCUCUCUUUUCUAGGUUUGUUUUCUGUCUCCUACUGUUCUGGGUCAAUAUGUACAGAGGUGCGUGGGCAGUGGGGCUCAGGACUUGCAGUGCACCAUGCCUAAUGGAAUUGAUAUGGCAAGAAGCUGGCAAUUACAGAAGACCACACGGACCACUAGACAGCCAAAUAUCCGCCCUGCUUUGCCCCUAAAACAAUGUCAAUAUCAGUGAAAAAAAGUGUGAAAAUAAGAGUGUUGGAGAGCUUCAAAUACAGAACAAGUGUUAAUAUGUGUAACACAAAAUGUACCUUUUAAGAAAUUCCAAUCUUUUAAUAUAUGCAGCAAGCUGUCACAAUAUUCCAACAGUCUGUGUGCAAGAGCUGUCUUUUAUGUCUAGCUAUGCACUGGGGCAGCAGCAGGAAGGCAGAAGAUUCCAGCAGAUUGAACAAAUUGCAAAGGUUGG